CAAACAACCCCAGUUCCCUCAGCUGCUCCUUACAGGACUUGUGCUCCAGAAAAACAGACUGCUCGUAGGACACCCAUCCCACCAGCAGUACCCCACAGGGAUGUGACAGGCCGACCCCUGUGCACUCAGCCUGGAAAUCUAGGCUGAGGCAGCUGCACCAGGGAGCCAUUUGCUUCAAUUCCCUUCCUGUCUAAAUACCUUGCAGACCUUGUGUUGGUGUAUAUCAUACCAGCCUGUAAUGGUAUCAAGACCUCCACGUGGUUCCUGUGUGUGAUCAAUGGCCUGGACUAUUCCUAUAAAGGCUGCUCUUACUUCAUGGUAUUCUGGACCUGUGUUGCUAAGGAGAUGGAAAGGAUUUGGAAGGAAGAGUCUUUCAAGACCCCAUCAGGUAAUUUAGGUACAAUUCCUUAUGCCUGUCACUUAAGAUGAUCUGACUACAAAGAGCCCAUCCCUGUAAAGGACUUACGAAACAGUGUACUGUAUUAUCAAAAGAAGGUAAUUUCACAACUAUGGAGUACUUGGAAAGAGAAGCUGGUGUGAAUAUGUAUUUUAGCAGUGUUCCUGCUUUAGGUUUUUUGGUAACAGAAAUGCAACGUGCAGCCAAGGGCGUAUACAGAUUUAGCUGUCAACCUCUUUGUUGUAUUUAAGAAGGAAAUUUGCAAGUGUUCAUGGGGUGCCAUUCGAAAAGAAUUACAACACUGCAGUCACCACUGGGAUUCGCCUACUGUAGUUGCAUAGUCUUCAAGUACUCCCAAGACUCUGAAUAAGCACUUGGGAAAUUGGUUAAUGUUGAAUUGUGCUCAGCUGUAGUUACAGUGCUUCAAACAUCCAAACUAGCU
RNAcentral lists this long non-coding RNA (839 nucleotides) under Anser brachyrhynchus (Pink-footed goose). Its description in RNAcentral is "lncRNA (ENSABRG00000014538.1)". Lineage: Eukaryota; Metazoa; Chordata; Aves; Anseriformes; Anatidae. The record is from RNAcentral.